Molecule: ribosomal RNA, 118 nt
Filed under: Pteropus alecto (black flying fox)
Lineage: Eukaryota; Metazoa; Chordata; Mammalia; Chiroptera; Pteropodidae
Source: RNAcentral
GUCUACGGCCAUCCCAUCCAGAAUAAGCCCAAUUCUGUCUGAUCUCGGAAGCUAAGCAGGGUCGGGCCGGUUAGUACUUGGAUGGGAGACUACCUAGUAAGACCAGGUGCUGUAGGCG